UCGUCUAGUCUCUAGUCAAUUCGCGCCGAUCGUUAUAGUGUGUAAUAUGGCCGCUUGGGGGUAAGUUUGUGCAACUAUUACGACAUUGUGAAAACUGGAAUUUUGCAUUUCGAAACGCCAUGGCCAAUAGCACCUACCGUAUCAAAUCAAAUCAAAUGCAUUUCGAAAUUGCUCAAAGUUAACGAUAAGCGAUAGCUAUUGAAGUCGAUUCCGGGAAGUUUGACUGUUCUAGUCUCGCACUUCAAGGAACACAUCAAACAAGAAGGAUUGCGAACAGUGGCUAACCUGUCAGGAGA
Long non-coding RNA from Daphnia pulicaria, 296 nucleotides. RefSeq lists it as uncharacterized. Lineage: Eukaryota; Metazoa; Arthropoda; Branchiopoda; Diplostraca; Daphniidae. The transcript has 2 exons. The record is from RefSeq and is a predicted model, not a curated record.